UUGUUGCGGUCGUUCAAAGUGUGGUAAUUAAUUAGUUGUUUUAAAUGAAUUAAGUUCUAAAUUCAGUGUAAACUAACUUUUGUUAAAGUGUGGAUUUUGUUUUUUGUGUUAUUUUUGCUGUUCGCUGCAGUUCUGAGCAAUUCUGAUGGAGAAAAAUGUCCAGUUCGUAGAAGAUCUCACACGAGCUGGAACGAAGAAGGGGAAGGAUAAGCUUCUUUUUCCCCUUCGUCUUGAUUUUCUGAUGGGUCAGUUCAAAGGAAAGAAACCAGCCACACGAGACAGCCUCGGCUCGAGAUAAAGUUUACAACGAAAUUGGAUCAUCUAAUUUAUAACUGCGAUGGAAGAAACAGAGCUGGAGUUUUAACGUCACGGCUUCGCAGCAAUCCAUGGCCCUUGUACUCGAUAACAACGGUAUCCGAUUCAACUGCUUCGAAUCUGGAGUCACGUUCACGGGUUAUCAGUUUUAAUGGGACGGUGUCUUCUGAU
Osmia bicornis bicornis is the source of this 486-nucleotide long non-coding RNA. RefSeq lists it as uncharacterized. The transcript is spliced from 3 exons. Lineage: Eukaryota; Metazoa; Arthropoda; Insecta; Hymenoptera; Megachilidae. The record is from RefSeq and is a predicted model, not a curated record.